CAUGGUAUUCUGGCAAAACAAAAUUAAAUCAGGUACCGGCAUGUAAAGCCGAGUUGCACUUCUCAUUGUUAACGAUGAUGUGAAUAUGAUAAAAGAAGCUGAUCCGGUAAUGAAACUUAAGCAAAAUUCAACCGAGACUAUUUAUUUGGCUGGCAUCGUGUCCUGGCUAUGACUAAGUUAGUUAAGUGCUUUGGAGAAUAGCUUGACUCCCUCUUCUUUGUGGCAGCCCCUGAGAUACAUGGAGAAUCCUAAAGUGUGCCAAAAUACAAAAGCAGUUGAGGGCAAAAACCUUACUAGUACUGGGAAUUCAAACAUCCUAAGAAUCGAAAGCAUGUAUAAGUGAUUCAAACCUGCCAUGAAUUGGGUAUGAACACCCUGGACAAUUUAAUUUUGACUGAAAAAGUAUAUUUCCUCUGGCACUUUGGAAGAAGCUCUGGCUACAGAUGCCAUAAAGAAGCAUCACCAGUAAACUGGAUUCUUUCACGUUUUUCAUAAUUGUCUAAGCAUUGAAGAAAUCUGAAGAAAUCCCAAUCCUAUGUGUCAGUGGCAAACAAACAAGAACUCUAUAAAGUACAUUGGCUAACAGAGAGAUUAAUGCCAACCCUAUGGAUCUCAGGUGCGGAUCCCAGGACCGUAGGAUAAAUUGGAUCCUUACCCUCCAAAGCAGCAGGACUUUCUGAAACUGGAGAAGAGGAAUUUGACAUCAUUCCUGAAUUCCUGUUUUAGGGAAUUUACUUCUUACCAAGAUCUGGAAAUCCUGAUUAUGAAAAGCCCACAAAGAAGAUAUUAGGAGGGAGGAGGAUGUAAAAGUAAGGAUUUGCUCAAAGCAACUUUGUCUCUUUGACAAGAAUAAAAAAAAAGAAUAACAUGGGCAAGGCUGGUAUUUUUCUCCAAGCAUAGUGUCAACAUGUGCUGAACUCCAAUUCAUAAAAUUCCUGGUUCUGGUUGUUCCAUCAAGCACAACAGGAAGACAUGCUGGGAUUGAAGAAUUAAGUUUGGCAGAUGUGUAUUUUUCUUCUUCUUGCAUAAUGUUGCAUAAUACUCUAUUUGAUUUAUUUUAUGUACAGGCUCAUAUUUUAUUUUUCAAGGACGUGUUUUCCUCUUUUUUUAUUUUUCCUCCCUAAUUGCUCGAGCCUUUGAACCAUUAUCCUUGCCACUAGAAAUUCAGGGCGAGGUCAAGCAAAUUAUGUCCAUACUUUUAUUACAUUGCAAUUGGACUGUGACACUGUAUUCCAUGUGGGUCUUUGUUACAAAACUCGAAGCUUCAAUCAGUGCUGAAUGUUAGGCUGCUAACUGGUGCAUAAUAUCAGAAUCAUCUUAUGAGCAUGUUGAUCUACAUCAGAGAUGGUAUUCAGCAGGUUCUGACCAGUUCUGGAGAACCGGUA
Long non-coding RNA from Thamnophis elegans (Western terrestrial garter snake), 1385 nucleotides. RefSeq lists it as uncharacterized. The record is from RefSeq and is a predicted model, not a curated record. NCBI's taxonomy places the organism in Eukaryota, Metazoa, Chordata, Lepidosauria, Squamata, Natricidae. The transcript has 4 exons.